UAGUCCACGCCGUAAACGAUGAGUGCUAGACGUUGGGAAUUUACUUUUCAGUGUCGUAGUUAACGCAUUAAGCACUCCGCCUGGGGAGUACGGUCGCAAGAUUAAAACUCAAAGGAAUUGACGGGGCCCGCACAAGCGGUGGAGCAUGUGGUUUAAUUCGACGCAACGCGAAGAACCUUACCAGCUCUUGACAUUGCUAAGUCGCGAGUUUUAGAGAUAAAACUCUUCAGUUCGGCUGGACUUAGUACAGGUGCUGCAUGGCUGUCGUCAGCUCGUGUCGUGAGAUGUUGGGUUAAGUCCCGCAACGAGCGCAACCCUUGUCCUUAGUUGCCAUCAGUUCGGCUGGGCACUCUAGAGAAACUGCCUGGGGAUGACCAGGAGGAAGGCGAGGGAUGACGUCAAGUCCUCAUGGGCCCUUAUGGGGCUGGGGCUACACACGUGCUACAAUGGCGGUGACAAA
Molecule: ribosomal RNA, 460 nt
Filed under: uncultured bacterium
Lineage: Bacteria
Description: bacterial SSU rRNA
Rfam family: Bacterial small subunit ribosomal RNA
Source: RNAcentral